Molecule: long non-coding RNA, 610 nt
Organism: Panicum virgatum (switchgrass)
Lineage: Eukaryota; Viridiplantae; Streptophyta; Magnoliopsida; Poales; Poaceae
Exons: 2
Source: RefSeq, a predicted model, not a curated record
UUUGAGUCUACACGGCGGCAGGUAUCCUACAUGGAGGAAAGAGAACGUGCAUAAAAAAUCGAGCCAGCGACUCUUUCGUCGCUCGUCUCACACACACCACGAUGCGCUAAAUCGCCGGCCUCCUCGCCUUCUACCAGCUAUUCUUCCGGCGAUUUCGCUCGGAUUCGGAUCCGCUGCGCGCGCAGAGCUCUCUCCCCCCAUCCCGCGGUGUGCAAAUCCUCCCCUUUCUCCCGCGUCCACUGCGCGCGGAAAUCCUUUCCCAAUCUAGCUGCUCCCGCCCUCGACUCUUCCGAUUUAUUUCUAGAGCCCGCGAAACCAAGGUACGUGAUUCAAAGAUCUGAAAUCCAUUUGUCUCUUGUGGUGAUGAGCGGCCGGACAAAGCGAGCGAUGGCUUUUGGCGACUCUUCCUCAACGAUGCAGUUAGCUGUUCAAUUUUCUUUUGUGCCCUAAAAUAAUGAUGUAUGACUUGAGUUAUGGUUAUCAAUCAGUGCAUUAUGUAGUAACGGAUGGACAUUUAUUUUAUUUUAUUUCUAUGUUUAAAAUGUUUGGGUUGUACCCGUUACUUAUCUUUAGUUGGUCAUGAUUCAUGAAAUGAAAUGGCUUGGAUCAA